RNAcentral lists this long non-coding RNA (206 nucleotides) under Solanum tuberosum (potato). Its description in RNAcentral is "long non-coding RNA (STUB_LNC000003)". Lineage: Eukaryota; Viridiplantae; Streptophyta; Magnoliopsida; Solanales; Solanaceae. The record is from RNAcentral.
GGUGUUGGCAAACUUGCUAGAAACUUUUGUGACUCUAAUUCAUCAUUACUAGAUCCAAUUACCGCAUUAAUGCAAGCUUCUUGUUUGGAACUUAACCUUGGCAAAUUAUAAUUCCUCCUCUCGGCAUUGACCCAGUCUCUAAAUAAAACUGAUGUUUCCAAACUUUCUUCCGCCAAUGAAUGUCUAUGAUCGCAAAGUUGAAACCU